CUACGGGUGGCUGCAGUGAGGAAUUUUGCGCAAUGGGGGAAACCCUGACGCAGCAACGCCGCGUGAGCGAAGAAGGCCCUCGGGUCGUAAAGCUCUGUCAAGUGGGAAAAAAAUUUUUUGAUCAAUAGUCAAAAGACUUGAUGGUACCACUGGAGGAAGCACCGGCUAACUCCGUGCCAGCAGCCGCGGUAAUACGGAGGGUGCGAGCGUUGUUCGGAUUUACUGGGCGUAAAGAGCGUGUAGGCGGUUUAGCAAGUCAGAUGUGAAAGCCCUGGGCUCAACCCGGGAAGUGCAUUUGAAACUGCUUCACUAGAGUAUGGGAGAGGUGAGUGGAAUUCCUGGUGUAGAGGUGAAAUUCGUAGAUAUCAGGAGGAACACCCGUGGCGAAGGCGAUUCUCUGGACCAAUACUGACGCUGAGACGCGAAAGCGUGGGGAGCAAACAGGAUUAGAUACCCCGGUAGUC
This 464-nucleotide ribosomal RNA is filed under the name uncultured bacterium. Its description in RNAcentral is "partial 16S ribosomal RNA". It matches the Rfam family "Bacterial small subunit ribosomal RNA", at positions 339 to 795 of the family's 1533-position model. The record is from RNAcentral.